Molecule: ribosomal RNA, 254 nt
Filed under: uncultured bacterium
Lineage: Bacteria
Description: partial 16S ribosomal RNA
Rfam family: Bacterial small subunit ribosomal RNA
Source: RNAcentral
UACGUAGGGGGCAAGCGUUGUCCGGAUUUAUUGGGCGUAAAGAGCUCGUAGGCGGUUCAGUAAGUCGGGUGUGAAAACUCUGGGCUCAACCCAGAGACGCCACCCGAUACUGCUGUGACUUGAGUACGGUAGGGGAGUGGGGAAUUCCUGGUGUAGCGGUGAAAUGCGCAGAUAUCAGGAGGAACACCGAUGGCGAAGGCAGGUCACUGGGCCGCAACUGACGCUGAGAAGCGAAAGCAUGGGGAGCGAACAGG